Molecule: long non-coding RNA, 1111 nt
Organism: Poecilia latipinna (sailfin molly)
Lineage: Eukaryota; Metazoa; Chordata; Actinopteri; Cyprinodontiformes; Poeciliidae
Exons: 2
Source: RefSeq, a predicted model, not a curated record
UAGCACAUUUUCAGCACUAGGACGAUUCAAAGUGCUUUACAUGAAUUAACUGUAAACGAAGUUAAGUCAGGUUUCCAGCUGUGACCUCUGACCCUUCCUGCAGGUAGCAGCCUGAUUCCGUCCUUGUUUCCCAGCAUGCAGCGGGAAGUGGACCUCUUCUGCACCCAGAGCGGAUCAGAACCGGGUGGAACCGGUCCAGUAGUGUGAAGAAGCCUCCGCCCUGCGCCGCUGUGGGUGUCAUGACUUACGGCUCUUCAUUGCUUCAUUGCUGCUGCUGCGUCGCAUUAAAGCCGAACCAUAACUCAGCGCUGCGGCCUGGCAGGGCGAGGCUAGCAGCAGGUAACCCGCCCUGACAGCUUUCUGAUGAGGUCACAUGAUUGACGGAGCGCCAGCUGCCGCAGCAGCUCGUAAAUCUACUGCUGAUCAAGCUGCAAGGAAUUAUGGGAGGCUGGCUGAGCUGCGGAGCGACGAGAGGAAUCGGAUGGAUCCCAGGAGGAUCAGGAGGAGACGGGAAGAUCGUAGAGACGGACUGCUCAGCGUUCACAGCCAGGACGGCUACCUGCUGGUGGUACAGUUGUGACGGGAUGAUCUGCUGCUGGACCGCACUGACCCGCUGCAGAACAUCAGGGCCGGGUUCGAGGUCACCCCGGGGUCAGGAGGUCGCCGUCUGUCCAUCACUCGUCUUGCGUAAGUCCAGGACCCCCGUCUCAUCCGUCCCGCUGUGAGGACGUCCGUCUUCCCUCUGGAAGUCGGGCCAGAGGUUGAGAAACAGCAGCUGGGAGGUUCUGGAGGUUCUGCUGAUCCGAGGGAGAAAGAGCCGAGUCAGCAGGACAGGGGCCGGGGGGCUGAAACCUGAGACUGGAGAUGGACGGAUGAAUUUACCUCCAGUGCUUCAUCAGCCUGGCGGGCUGCCAGCCUCCAGUUGCUCCUCAGGCUGAGCUUCGUUCAGGUUUUAUCCAGAAACAGCAACAGGAAAACGUCAGUAUGUGAAGACAGCCUGGGGUCAGAGGUCAUUCACCUGAACUCUAACCACUUCCUGCCUCAUGCUAACAACUUCAGCUAAUAAAGUCAAUAAAGGAUCAAAACAUUUGGACACUUUAGGAUGAAACAA